UGCUUGCUGGUGUAAUCGGCAACACGCCCGGCUCUGGUCCGGAAGAGUGCAGGUUCGAGCCCUGCGCAAGCAGCCA
RNAcentral lists this transfer RNA (76 nucleotides) under Brevibacterium aurantiacum. RNAcentral describes it as "tRNA-Gln". It matches the Rfam family "tRNA". Rfam says of the family: Transfer RNA (tRNA) molecules are approximately 80 nucleotides in length. Their secondary structure includes four short double-helical elements and three loops (D, anti-codon, and T loops). Further hydrogen bonds mediate the characteristic L-shaped molecular structure. tRNAs have two regions of fundamental functional importance: the anti-codon, which is responsible for specific mRNA codon recognition, and the 3' end, to which the tRNAs corresponding amino acid is attached (by aminoacyl-tRNA synthetases). tRNAs cope with the degeneracy of the genetic code in two manners: having more than one tRNA (with a specific anti-codon) for a particular amino acid; and 'wobble' base-pairing, i.e. permitting non-standard base-pairing at the 3rd anti-codon position. The record is from RNAcentral. Lineage: Bacteria; Bacillati; Actinomycetota; Actinomycetes; Micrococcales; Brevibacteriaceae.